This is a long non-coding RNA of Vespula vulgaris, 2805 nucleotides long. RefSeq lists it as uncharacterized. Lineage: Eukaryota; Metazoa; Arthropoda; Insecta; Hymenoptera; Vespidae. The record is from RefSeq and is a predicted model, not a curated record. The transcript is spliced from 5 exons.
AUUCACUGUGUCGGUAACCGUAGUGAUGACUAGCAGUACUUCUUUUCUACAUAAAGAAAUAUUAAUCGCAUCAACGCGCAUAGUUUACUAUUGUUAUUCCAUCUUUUUUUCUAUUUUACUUUAAUCCUGAGCGAGACCAAUCGAUCGUUCAUUUCUUUACAGAGAGGAGGGACAAGAAACUUGAUGUCGUUGCAAAGAAAUAGCAGCAAAGAUGUAGUGUAUGAGAAAAUUAUAUUCAAGCUGCAUCAUUUGUAUAUGACUCAUUCAUCGAAUGCUUAAUCAAGUAUAAUGACAUACAUAUGUAAGAAAUGUUUCGAACACGUUUAUGAUCUGUGGUGUUCUCUACAUACACGAUAAGAAUAUCUUUCUUAUAAAUAAUUCCCCAAGUGCUCGGAUUUUGUUUGCGUUCGUUCACUAACGUCAUCGAGAAUAUCCUUAAAUUCUUCAUCUCACUUAAAUACCAAAUAAAGGAUAUCUCCGGCACUCGUCGCUGGUGCAGGCGAAGCUAGAUCUUAAAUUAGUUAAUCACGGUCUCAUCGUCGUUAUUUGGAGCAAACGUAAUAAUUAAUUCCUCACAACAGACUGAUUGACGAAGAUGGUCUCGAAUUUUCGUUGGCUGUCGAUGAUGACGAUAUGACUGCUUAGCUAGCAGAACGCCGGUCUCUGAUUUCAUGCAUUGCCUCAACAUGCAAUGCUAUGACGGUGAUGAGAACGAUCUUCCAAAUGAACUUCUAUAUGAGUCUUAUUUAGGCAUCAUCGAGAGCAUCUUUACGAUUUUUAUUCCACUCAAAUAUCAAAUAAAGGACAUUUCCGGCGGGAUUGCCUUCGUCGCUGAUGUGUUCGGAAGUCAGUAGCCCUCGAAUUAGCUAAUCUUGAUGUCAUCAUUAUCCUUUGAAGCAGCAAUCAAAAAAGGUAAUUAUCAUAUUCGACGUAUCGUAAUUGAAAGACUUAUGUCGAUAAACUGACCACUGCAGGAAAGAACGAAGGAUAUGACAUGUACAAGUUCACCUUUCCCAUGGCUUGGCCAAAGUAUAAAGUAGUCUUUCAAGUUAAAAGUAAGAUACAUCUUUGGAUCAGGAUCUAACUAAGCUAGAUAAGGCACAUAUGUAAGUUCAUUUGGAGGAACAUUCUCGUCACAGUCAUAGCAUUGCAUGUUGAGGCAAUGCAUGAAAUCAGAACCGACGUUCUGCCCACUAAGCAGUUCCACCAUCAGCAUCGAAAGGCAACGAAGACUCGAGAUCAUCCUCCGCAAUUAACCAAUUGCGAGGAAUUAACUAUUAUCUUCGUCACAAUUAACAACGAUAACAUUGUGGUUAACAAAUCUAAGGGCUAGUGACCUCCGUCAGCAUCAGCAAUCUUUCCAGAGAUAUCCUUUAUUUGGUAUUUAAAAGAAAAAAAUCCCAAGGUACUAUCGAUAAUGCCCGCACACAAACGCAAGAUAAAUCUAUGCACGUUGGGAAUUAUAUAUAACAGACAUUCUGGAGAAAUAAAAUUAAUUUAACGAUUUAUUUCUAAUUGAAUGAUUAAUCGAAUGAUUAUUUAAUAUCGAAUGGUCAUAUCUUAUCGUGUAUGUAGAGAACACCGGAGAUUUUGAACGUGUUCGGAAAACUUCCUAAGAUGCAUUAUUGCACUUCAUUAAGCAUUUUGAAUAAAUCAUAUACGAAUAAUGCAAUUUGAAUGCAAUUUUCUCGAAAACUAUAACACUACUGCUUCUUUCUCGCUACGAUAUCAAGUCUCUUGCCACCCAUUUCUCGGCAAAGAUAAAGAACGUACAUAUUAUGUCUUUUCUUCGUUUAUAGAAAGCCAAUAGAAGAAUUUUUGAAAAAAGUCCGACACAGUGAAUAGAGGGCGAACUGUAUGAGGUCUGCUUUUAUCUCGCGGCGAUAUCGAUCGAUGAGCGGUAGGGGUAAUUAUACAAUAAAAAUUAAGAAAAAGAUGCUUUUCAGAAAUGGCUAAUGUGAUAUCUUAAGCCCUGCUUGAUCGACUGAUUCGAAUUUUUUUCUACAUCUUCAAUACACAUAUGUCGUUAUAAUCUGUACGACAAUUAAAUUAUACAAAAUCUUCUUAAAAGCAAAAUUUCUUUAGAGAUUAUUAAUUGACACCAAGAUGAAACGGAACUGAAAGAUAUGAAGGGGAGAGAUAGAAUGAGAGAGAGUUAAAUAGGGAAUAACAAAAGAUAGGUAUCCAGAAAUAGGAAGGAAGAGGGAGUGAGAGAGAGAGAGAGGGAGAGAGAGCAUAAUUAUGCUUAUAAGCUUUGCGUUCAUAUUUUAUUUGUACGCACAAGAGAGAUAGGAACAGGAUGAGAUAGGGAAUAAACUGCGCAUUAUUAUUUCCCUUGUGCGUGAAAGAUAGAAAGGCAUAAAGAACAAUAUCUCUACUUAAAACAUAAAAUUAAAAAAUUUAAGACAGUAACACAAAAGCGAUAAUAAAAUCAAGAAGAAGAAUUAUUAAUAUGCUAUUUCAGAUAUAUACCUCGAUCGAAUUGAUUUCUUUGUCAUUUCUUAUUUUAGUUAUCAGAAAUCACUUGUUAUGUUUUUAGAAAACGACUGAACGGAGAUAGAAUGAAACAAUGUUUUUAUAUAAAUAAGUUAUUUUCAAUAUUUUUCGUAUGUAAUACCUAACCUAUAAUUGUCUAGAUAUAAUUUUUUUAACUUCAAAUUUCGCCGAAACAGAACUCCGGAACAUGGUGAAUUAAAGUUGGGAAACUAAAUUAAAUUAAAGUAAAGUAAAUCGUCUAAAGAAGCGUGUGUUUGUUCUAUUGUUUUAAUACAUCAAAUAUAAGAAAAAUAAAAAUCCGAAAGCAUU